GGGGGUGUAGCUCAGUAGUAGAGAGUUUGCUUAACAAGAAAGAGGUCCUGGGUUCAAUUCCCAGUACCACAA
RNAcentral lists this transfer RNA (72 nucleotides) under Fukomys damarensis (Damara mole-rat). It matches the Rfam family "tRNA". Rfam says of the family: Transfer RNA (tRNA) molecules are approximately 80 nucleotides in length. Their secondary structure includes four short double-helical elements and three loops (D, anti-codon, and T loops). Lineage: Eukaryota; Metazoa; Chordata; Mammalia; Rodentia; Bathyergidae. The record is from Rfam by way of RNAcentral.